RNAcentral lists this unclassified non-coding RNA (396 nucleotides) under soil metagenome. RNAcentral's name for it is "partial contains 5.8S ribosomal RNA, internal transcribed spacer 2, and large subunit ribosomal RNA". The stretch from base 1 to 122 matches the Rfam family "5.8S ribosomal RNA", at positions 35 to 154 of the family's 154-position model. The record is from RNAcentral.
GAUGAAGAACGUAGCGAAAUGCGAUACUUGGUGUGAAUUGCAGAAUCCCGUGAACCAUCGAGUCUUUGAACGCAAGUUGCGCCCGAAGCCAUUUGGUUGAGGGCACGUCUGCCUGGGCGUCACAUAUCGUUGCCCGAUGCCUAUUGCACUGUGAUAGGAAAUUCUAGGGCGAAAGAUGGCUUCCCGUGAGCGUUGUUGCCUCGCGGUUGGUUGAAAAUUGAGUCCUUGGUAAGGUGUGCCAUGAUAGAUGGUGGUCGAGUUUGCACGAGACCGAUCAUGUGUGCGCUCCCCAAAAUAUGGACUCUUUGACCCCACACGCGUCUUUUGACGCUCAUGACGAGACCUCAGGUCAGGCGGGGCUACCCGCUGAGUUUAAGCACAUCAAUAAGCGGAGGA